RNAcentral lists this ribosomal RNA (239 nucleotides) under uncultured Glomus. Its description in RNAcentral is "partial 18S ribosomal RNA". It matches the Rfam family "Eukaryotic small subunit ribosomal RNA", at positions 569 to 812 of the family's 1831-position model. The record is from RNAcentral. Lineage: Eukaryota; Fungi; Glomeromycota; Glomeromycetes; Glomerales; Glomeraceae.
AGCAGCCGCGGUAAUUCCAGCGUCCAAUAGCGUAUAUUAAAGUUGUUGCAGUUAAAGAGCUCGUAGUUGAAUUUCGGGGUCAGCAAGUUGGUCGUGCCACUGGUAUGCACUGGCUUUGCUGAUUCCUCCUUCUUGUAGAACCGUAAUGCCAUUAAGUUGGUGUUACGGGGAAACAGGACUGUUACUUUGAAAAAAUUAGAGUGUUUAAAGCAGGCUAACGCUUGAAUACAUUAGCAUGG